Molecule: ribosomal RNA, 253 nt
Filed under: uncultured bacterium
Lineage: Bacteria
Description: partial 16S ribosomal RNA
Rfam family: Bacterial small subunit ribosomal RNA
Source: RNAcentral
UACGGAGGAUGCAAGCGUUAUCCGGAAUCAUUGGGCGUAAAGCGCGCGUAGGCGGCCCGGUAAGUCCGUUGUGAAAGUCAAAGGCUCAACCUUUGAAAGCCGAUGGAUACUGCCGGGCUGGAGUCCGGAAGAGGCGAGUGGAAUUCCUGGUGUAGCGGUGGAAUGCGCAGAUAUCAGGAGGAACACCAAUAGCGAAGGCAGCUCGCUGGGACGGUACUGACGCUGAGGCGCGAAAGCGUGGGGAGCGAACAGG